UCGAGGAUCAUUCGCAAUGGGCGAAAGCCUGACGAUGCGACGCCGUGUGAGCGAUGAAGGCCUUCGGGUUGUAAAGCUCUUUCGCUUGGGAACAAGAGAGUGUGGUGAAUAGCCAUGCGAUUUGAGGGUACCAGGUAAAGAAGCACCGGCUAACUCCGUGCCAGCAGCUGCGGUAAUACGGAGGGUGCAAGCAUUAAUCGGAUUUAUUGGGCGUAAAGGGCGUGUAGGCGGGUUAGUAAGUCGAAUGUUAAAUUCCAAAGCUCAACUUUGGACUGCAUUUGAAACUACUAGUCUGGAGGAUUGGCGGAGAAAACGGAAUUCCACAUGUAGCGGUGAAAUGCGUAGAUAUGUGGAAGAACACCCGUGGCGAAAGCGGUUUUCUAGCUUAUUCCUGACGCUGAGGCGCGAGAGCAAGGGGAGCAAACAG
RNAcentral lists this ribosomal RNA (427 nucleotides) under uncultured bacterium. RNAcentral describes it as "bacterial SSU rRNA". It matches the Rfam family "Bacterial small subunit ribosomal RNA", at positions 355 to 775 of the family's 1533-position model. The record is from RNAcentral.